Molecule: ribosomal RNA, 267 nt
Filed under: uncultured bacterium
Lineage: Bacteria
Description: partial 16S ribosomal RNA
Rfam family: Bacterial small subunit ribosomal RNA
Source: RNAcentral
UGGGGAAUAUUGCACAAUGGGCGAAAGCCUGAUGCAGCGACGCCGCGUGCGGGAUGAAGGCCUUCGGGUUGUAAACCGCUUUUAAUUGGGAGCAAGCUGAGAGUGAAGUGUACCUUUUGAAUAAGCACCGGCUAACUACGUGCCAGCAGCCGCGGUAAUACGUAGGGUGCAAGCGUUAUCCGGAAUUAUUGGGCGUAAAGAGCUCGUAGGCGGUUUGUCACGCCUGGUGUGAAAGUCCAUCGCUUAACGGUGGAUCUGCGCCGGGUA